RNAcentral lists this microRNA precursor (116 nucleotides) under Dichanthelium oligosanthes. RNAcentral's name for it is "mir-393 microRNA precursor family". It matches the Rfam family "mir-393 microRNA precursor family". Lineage: Eukaryota; Viridiplantae; Streptophyta; Magnoliopsida; Poales; Poaceae. The record is from Rfam by way of RNAcentral.
GGGGGAAGCAUCCAAAGGGAUCGCAUUGAUCCAUCAUUCCUUCCAUUCUUCCAUGGUGGCCGUCGUCUACAAGCACGGUUGACGACGGAUCAUGCGAUCCUUUUGGAGGCUUCCUC